UCCAACGGCCAUACCAUGUUGAAUACACCGGUUCUCGUCCGAUCACCGAAGUUAAGCAACAUCGGGCGUGGUUAGUACCUGGAUGGGUGACCGCCUGGGAAUACCGCAUGCUGUUGGCA
RNAcentral lists this ribosomal RNA (119 nucleotides) under Rhodnius prolixus. The record is from RNAcentral. Lineage: Eukaryota; Metazoa; Arthropoda; Insecta; Hemiptera; Reduviidae.